GAACGCACAUUGCGCCCCCUGGUAUUCCGGGGGGCAUGCCUGUCCGAGCGUCAUUACAACCCUCAAGCUCUGCUUGGUGUUGGGCCCCGCCGCCCCGGCGGGCCCUAAAGUCAGUGGCGGUGCCAUCCGGCUCCGAGCGUAGUAAUUCUUCUCGCUCUGGAGGUCCGGUUGUGUGCUCGCCAUCAACCCCCAAUUUUUUUCAGGUUGACCUCGGAUCAGGUAGGGAUACCCGCUGAACUUAAG
Molecule: unclassified non-coding RNA, 243 nt
Filed under: Pseudogymnoascus appendiculatus
Lineage: Eukaryota; Fungi; Ascomycota; Leotiomycetes; Thelebolales; Thelebolaceae
Description: sequence contains 5.8S rRNA gene
Rfam family: 5.8S ribosomal RNA (bases 1-53)
Source: RNAcentral